GGGAGGGUGGUCUAACGGUCAGAACGCUGGCCUUGUAAUCCUGGGGUCUCGGGUUCGAUUCCCGGCGGUGCCC
RNAcentral lists this transfer RNA (73 nucleotides) under Zootermopsis nevadensis. It matches the Rfam family "tRNA". From Rfam's summary of the family: Transfer RNA (tRNA) molecules are approximately 80 nucleotides in length. Their secondary structure includes four short double-helical elements and three loops (D, anti-codon, and T loops). The record is from Rfam by way of RNAcentral. Lineage: Eukaryota; Metazoa; Arthropoda; Insecta; Blattodea; Termopsidae.